AGUGAACGCUGGCGGAAGGCCUAACACAUGCAAGUCGAACGGCAGCACAGUAAGAGCUUGCUCUUACGGGUGGCGAGUGGCGGACGGGUGAGGAAUACAUCGGAAUCUACUUUUUCGUGGGGGAUAACGUAGGGAAACUUACGCUAAUACCGCAUACGACCUACGGGUGAAAGCAGGGGAUCUUCGGACCUUGCGCGAUUGAAUGAGCCGAUGUCGGAUUAGCUAGGUGGCGGGGUAAAGGCCCACCAAGGCGACGAUCCGUAGCUGGUCUGAGAGGAUGAUCAGCCACACUGGAACUGAGACACGGUCCAGACUCCUACGGGAGGCAGCAGUGGGGAAUAUUGGACAAUGGGCGCAAGCCUGAUCCAGCCAUACCGCGUGGGUGAAGAAGGCCUUCGGGUUGUAAAGCCCUUUUGUUGGGAAAGAAAAGCAGCAGGUUAAUACCCCGCUGUUCUGACGGUACCCAAAGAAUAAGCACCGGCUAACUUCGUG
RNAcentral lists this ribosomal RNA (492 nucleotides) under uncultured bacterium. RNAcentral describes it as "partial 16S ribosomal RNA". It matches the Rfam family "Bacterial small subunit ribosomal RNA", at positions 29 to 507 of the family's 1533-position model. The record is from RNAcentral.